RNAcentral lists this ribosomal RNA (292 nucleotides) under uncultured bacterium. RNAcentral describes it as "partial 16S ribosomal RNA". It matches the Rfam family "Bacterial small subunit ribosomal RNA", at positions 505 to 796 of the family's 1533-position model. The record is from RNAcentral.
GUGCCAGCAGCCGCGGUAAUACGGAGGGUGCAAGCGUUAUCCGGAUUUACUGGGUUUAAAGGGUGCGUAGGUGGGUUGGGAAGUCAGUGGUGAAAUACUUUCGCUUAACGAAGGAACUGCCAUUGAUACUAUCAAUCUUGAAUGUAGUGGAGGUAGGCGGAAUGCGUCAUGUAGCGGUGAAAUGCUUAGAUAUGACGCAGAACACCAAUUGCGAAGGCAGCUUGCUACACUACUAUUGACACUGAGGCACGAAAGCGUGGGGAUCAAACAGGAUUAGAUACCCUGGUAGUCC